UCGCGGCUUGCGCCGGCAGUCCCGACAGAGUCCUCGGCUUUAUCCGUUAGCAACUGUCGGCAGGGGUUGCGCUCGUUAUGGCACUUAAGCCGACACCUCACGGCACGAGCUGACGACAACCAUGCAGCACCUCGGAAGAUGUCCGUAGAACGAGGGGUCUCUCCCUCUGUCAUCUCCCGUUUGAGCCCGGGUAAGGUUCCUCGCGUAUCAUCGAAUUAAACCACAUGUUCCUCCGCUUGUGCGGGCCCCCGUCAAUUCCUUUGAGUUUCACCGUUGCCGGCGUACUCCCCAGGUGGAAUGCUUAUCGCUUUCGCUUCGCCACCCAGCCCUCACUCGGACCGGACAGCCGGCAUUCAUCGUUUACUGCGUGGACUAC
Molecule: unclassified non-coding RNA, 376 nt
Filed under: uncultured Muribaculaceae bacterium
Lineage: Bacteria; Pseudomonadati; Bacteroidota; Bacteroidia; Bacteroidales; Muribaculaceae
Description: contains 16S-23S intergenic spacer region
Source: RNAcentral